GAUGAACGCUGGCGGCGUGCCUAAUACAUGCAAGUCGAGCGAACAGACGAGGAGCUUGCUCCUCUGACGUUAGCGGCGGACGGGUGAGUAACACGUGGAUAACCUACCUAUAAGACUGGGAUAACUUCGGGAAACCGGAGCUAAUACCGGAUAAUAUAUUGAACCGCAUGGUUCAAUAGUGAAAGACGGUUUUGCUGUCACUUAUAGAUUGAUCCGCGCCGCAUUAGCUAGUUGGUAAGGUAACGGCUUACCAAGGCGACGAUGCGUAGCCGACCUGAGAGGGUGGUCGGCCACACUGGAACUGAGACACGGUCCAGACUCCUACGGGGGGCAGCAGUAGGGAAUCUUCCGCAAUGGGCGAAAGCCUGACGGAGCAACGCCGCGGGAAUGAUGAAGGUCCUCGGAUCGUAGAGCUCUGUUAUUAGGGAAGAACAAAUGUGUAAGUAACUAUGCACGUAUUGACGGUACCUAAUCAGAAAGCCACGGCUAACUACGUG
Molecule: ribosomal RNA, 497 nt
Filed under: uncultured bacterium
Lineage: Bacteria
Description: partial 16S ribosomal RNA
Rfam family: Bacterial small subunit ribosomal RNA
Source: RNAcentral